GGGGCUGCAUUGGUUUCGACGUGGGUUCGGACGCGGUGUGGUGCAUGUCGAGCUGAGUGUGCUCGUAAAACUGAUUCAAACAAACUAACUGCAAACGACGAACGUUUCGCACUCGCUGCUUAAUUGCCAGUGAGC
Molecule: transfer-messenger RNA, 135 nt
Filed under: Polaromonas sp.
Lineage: Bacteria; Pseudomonadati; Pseudomonadota; Betaproteobacteria; Burkholderiales; Comamonadaceae
Description: partial transfer-messenger RNA
Rfam family: transfer-messenger RNA
About the family: Bacterial tmRNA, also known as 10Sa RNA or SsrA, is named for its dual tRNA and mRNA-like properties. Its role is to liberate the mRNA from a stalled ribosome.
Source: RNAcentral